This 387-nucleotide ribosomal RNA is filed under the name Syndiniales sp. RNAcentral's name for it is "partial small subunit ribosomal RNA". It matches the Rfam family "Eukaryotic small subunit ribosomal RNA", at positions 582 to 975 of the family's 1831-position model. The record is from RNAcentral. Lineage: Eukaryota; Dinophyceae; Syndiniales.
AUUCCAGCUCCAAUAGCGUAUAUUAAAGUUGUUGCGGUUAAAAAGCUCGUAGUUGGAUUUCUGCAUGGAAGGAGCGGUCCACCCUUUGGGUGAGUUACUGCUACCUUUUGUGCAUCUUCCUGAGAAGGCGUUCUUCACUUCAUUGUGAGGCCGCAUGACUCAGGACGUUUACUUUGUGGAAAUGAGAGUGUUUCAAGCAGGCAAAUGCCUUGAAUACGUUAGCAUGGAAUAAUAGCAUCGGACCAUCGUCCAGCUGUUGGUGUCUGGGCGAAGGUAAAGGUGAAUAGGGAUUGUUGGGGGCAUUCGUAUUUAACUGUCAGAGGUGAAAUUCUUGGAUUUGUUGAAGACGGACUACUGCGAAAGCAUCUGCCAAAGAUGUUCUCAUCG